Molecule: ribosomal RNA, 400 nt
Filed under: uncultured bacterium
Lineage: Bacteria
Description: bacterial SSU rRNA
Rfam family: Bacterial small subunit ribosomal RNA
Source: RNAcentral
UGGGGAAUAUUGCGCAAUGGGGGCAACCCUGACGCAGCCAUGCCGCGUGUGUGAAGAAGGCCUUCGGGUUGUAAAGCACUUUCAGUGGGGAGGAAAGGGCGCUGGCUAAUAUCCAGUGCAGUUGACGCUACCCACAGAAGAAGCACCGGCUAAUUCCGUGCCAGCAGCCGCGGUAAUACGGAAGGUGCGAGCGUUAAUCGGAAUUACUGGGCGUAAAGCGCGCGUAGGCGGCUUGGUAAGUCGGGUGUGAAAGCCCCGGGCUCAACCUGGGAACUGCAUUCGAUACUGCUGGGCUAGAGUACGAGAGAGGGGGUGGAAUUCCAGGUGUAGCGGUGAAAUGCGUAGAGAUCUGGAGGAACACCGGUGGCGAAGGCGGCCCCCUGGUUCGAUACUGACGCUG